AAUAAGGUUAUUUUUCAGUUUCUAGAUACAAUGUUUUGACUCUUCGUCUUAUUUGAAUUUUUUUACGAGUAAUAUUUUUAUUGUUACUAGAUGAUAAAAUAUGAAUAAUACUUUAUGCGUGACUAAUUUUUUUAAGUUUUUUUACAAUUUUUUUUAAAAUAAGCCGAAUGGUUAAAGCAUUGAGCACAAAAAUUAAAAAAUGACUUUAAU
Molecule: microRNA precursor, 210 nt
Filed under: Oryza brachyantha (malo sina)
Lineage: Eukaryota; Viridiplantae; Streptophyta; Magnoliopsida; Poales; Poaceae
Description: MIR812 microRNA precursor family
Rfam family: MIR812 microRNA precursor family
Source: Rfam by way of RNAcentral